RNAcentral lists this ribosomal RNA (253 nucleotides) under uncultured bacterium. RNAcentral describes it as "partial 16S ribosomal RNA". It matches the Rfam family "Bacterial small subunit ribosomal RNA", at positions 524 to 776 of the family's 1533-position model. The record is from RNAcentral.
UACGGAGGGUGCAAGCGUUAUCCGGAUUCACUGGGCGUAAAGGGCGCGUAGGUGGCGCGACAAGUCAGUGGUGAAAGUUCGACGCUCAACGUCGAAUCGGCCACUGAUACUGUUGGGCUUGAGCACUGUAGAGGCUAAUGGAAUUCCGGGUGUAGCGGUGGAAUGCGUAGAGAUCCGGAAGAACACCGGUGGCGAAGGCGGUUAGCUGGGCAGUUGCUGACACUGAGGCGCGACAGCGUGGGGAGCAAACAGG